GGCGGCACGCCUAACACAUGCAAGUCGAACGAAGUAGCAAUACUUAGUGGCAGACGGGUGAGUAACAUGUAGGUAUCUGCCCUUUGGCCUGGAAUAACACGAGGAAACUUGUGCUAAUACCGGAUAAGUCUUUACGGAGAAAGCUUUAUGCACCAUUGGAUGAGCCUGCACUUGAUUAGUUUGUUGGUGGGGUAAUGGCCUACCAAGACUGUGAUCAAUAGCUGAUUUGAGAGGAUGAUCAGCCACAUUGGGACUGAGACACGGCCCAAACUCCUACGGGAGGCAGCAGUGGGGAAUCUUGCACAAUGGAGGAAACUCUGAUGCAGCGAUGCCGCGUGAGUGAAGAAGGCCUUUGGGUUGUAAAGCUCUUUCGUCGGGGAAGAAAAUGACUGUACCCGAAUAAGAAGGUCCGGCUAACUUCGUGCCAGCAGCCGCGGUAAUACGAAGGGACCUAGCGUAGUUCGGAAUUACUGGGCUUAAAGAGUUCGUAGGUGGUUGAAAAAGUUAGUGGUGAAAUCCCAGAGCUUAACUCUGGAACUGCCAUUAAAACUUUUCAGCUAGAGUAUGAUAGAGGAAAGCAGAAUUUCUAGUGUAGAGGUGAAAUUCGUAGAUAUUAGAAAGAAUACCAAUUGCGAAGGCAGCUUUCUGGAUCAUUACUGACACUGAGGAACGAAAGCAUGGGUAGCGAAGAGGAUUAGAU
Molecule: ribosomal RNA, 700 nt
Filed under: uncultured Alphaproteobacteria bacterium
Lineage: Bacteria; Pseudomonadati; Pseudomonadota; Alphaproteobacteria
Description: bacterial SSU rRNA
Rfam family: Bacterial small subunit ribosomal RNA
Source: RNAcentral